This 72-nucleotide transfer RNA is filed under the name Leguminivora glycinivorella. Its description in RNAcentral is "tRNA-Pro". It matches the Rfam family "tRNA". From Rfam's summary of the family: Transfer RNA (tRNA) molecules are approximately 80 nucleotides in length. Their secondary structure includes four short double-helical elements and three loops (D, anti-codon, and T loops). The record is from RNAcentral. Lineage: Eukaryota; Metazoa; Arthropoda; Insecta; Lepidoptera; Tortricidae.
GGCAUGAUGGCCUAGCGGUAUGAUUCUCGCUUUGGGUGUGAGAGGUCCCGGGUUCAAAUCCCGGUCGUGCCC